AUUACUCCUACGGGAGGCAGCAGUGGGGAAUUUUGCGCAAUGGGCGAAAGCCUGACGCAGCAACGCCGCGUGAGGGAUGAAGGCUCUCGGGUUGUAAACCUCUUUCAGCAGGAACGAAAUUGACGGUACCUGCAGAAGAAGCUCCGGCCAACUACGUGCCAGCAGCCGCGGUAAUAAU
RNAcentral lists this ribosomal RNA (178 nucleotides) under uncultured bacterium. RNAcentral's name for it is "partial 16S ribosomal RNA". It matches the Rfam family "Bacterial small subunit ribosomal RNA", at positions 332 to 526 of the family's 1533-position model. The record is from RNAcentral.